RNAcentral lists this transfer RNA (76 nucleotides) under Venturia inaequalis. Its description in RNAcentral is "tRNA-Arg". The stretch from base 11 to 69 matches the Rfam family "tRNA", at positions 7 to 64 of the family's 71-position model. Rfam says of the family: Transfer RNA (tRNA) molecules are approximately 80 nucleotides in length. Lineage: Eukaryota; Fungi; Ascomycota; Dothideomycetes; Venturiales; Venturiaceae. The record is from RNAcentral.
ACAUCAACAGAUGGCGCAAUGGUAGCGCGCGAGACUUCUAAUCUCGAGGCUGUGGGUUCGAAUCCCACUUGGAGUG